ACACAGUAGGAACUCAUGUCAUUUCUUGUAAGUAAACCAGAGCGAAUCAGGCGGUGGGUCUCGGAAAAGUUCAUUGUUGAGGGCUUAAGAGAUUUGGAACUAUUUGGAGACCAAUGAUGCGAGCUCAGAGUCAAUAGCAUCCUUCUCUAAACAGGAGGUCAUGAGUAGCUUUCUGCCAGAGGGAGGGUGUUACGAGCUGCUCACUGUGAUAGGCAAAGGAUUUGAGGACCUGAUGACUGUGAAUCUAGCAAGGUACAAACCAACAGGAGAGUACGUGACUGUACGGAGGAUUAACCUAGAAGCUUGUUCCAAUGAGAUGGUAACAUUCUUGCAGGGCGAGCUGCAUGUCUCCAAACUCUUCAACCAUCCCAAUAUCAUGCCAUAUCGAGCCACUUUUAUUGCAGACAAUGAGCUGUGGGUUGUCACAUCAUUCAUGGCAUACGGUUCUGCAAAAGAUCUCAUCUGUACACACUUCAUGGAUGGCAUGAAUGAGCUGGCGAUUGCUUACAUCCUGCAGGGGGUGCUGAAGGCCCUCGACUACAUCCACCACAUGGGAUAUGUACACAGGUGCGUUCUUAGGCGGCCUUUCCCAUGAUUACAGUGGGUAGCUAUACCCCUGAGCCUUCAGGUAAAGUGAAGUUUGACUGAAGUUAAUGAAGCCAGAGUUUAAAAUCAAGGAUCUGGAUUCUUGCUGAA
RNAcentral lists this small RNA (696 nucleotides) under Pan troglodytes (chimpanzee). RNAcentral describes it as "retained intron". The record is from RNAcentral. Lineage: Eukaryota; Metazoa; Chordata; Mammalia; Primates; Hominidae.